UCCUGCGAACCUCUGAGAAAUCGGGGGGUGCCUUCGGGAGCGCAGAGACAGGUGGUGCAUGGCUGUCGUCAGCUCGUGUCGUGAGAUGUUGGGUUAAGUCCCGCAACGAGCGCAACCCUUAUUUUUAGUUCUAUUGUCUAAAAAGACUGCCGGUGAUAAACCGGAGGAAGGUGAGGACGACGUCAAGUCAUCAUGCCCCUUACACCCUGGGCUACACACGUCCUACAAUGGGUAAGACAAUAAGUUGCAAAUCCGCGAGGACAAGCUAAUCUUUCAAACUUACUCCAAGUACAGAUUGCAGGCUGCAACUCGCCUGCAUGAAGGUGGAAUCGCUAGUAAUCGCUGGUCAGCUACACAGCGGUGAAUUCGUUCCCGGGCCUUGUACACACCGCCCGUCACACCAUGGAAGCUGGUUGUACCCGAAGUCGUUAUCCUAACCGUAAGGAAGGAGAUGCCGAAGGUAAAAUUAGUGACCGAGGUGAAAGCGUAACAAGGUA
This 497-nucleotide ribosomal RNA is filed under the name uncultured cyanobacterium. Its description in RNAcentral is "bacterial SSU rRNA". It matches the Rfam family "Bacterial small subunit ribosomal RNA", at positions 987 to 1498 of the family's 1533-position model. The record is from RNAcentral. Lineage: Bacteria; Bacillati; Cyanobacteriota.